RNAcentral lists this transfer RNA (72 nucleotides) under Ignavibacteria bacterium. RNAcentral describes it as "tRNA-Asn". It matches the Rfam family "tRNA". From Rfam's summary of the family: Transfer RNA (tRNA) molecules are approximately 80 nucleotides in length. Their secondary structure includes four short double-helical elements and three loops (D, anti-codon, and T loops). Further hydrogen bonds mediate the characteristic L-shaped molecular structure. tRNAs have two regions of fundamental functional importance: the anti-codon, which is responsible for specific mRNA codon recognition, and the 3' end, to which the tRNAs corresponding amino acid is attached (by aminoacyl-tRNA synthetases). tRNAs cope with the degeneracy of the genetic code in two manners: having more than one tRNA (with a specific anti-codon) for a particular amino acid; and 'wobble' base-pairing, i.e. permitting non-standard base-pairing at the 3rd anti-codon position. The record is from RNAcentral. Lineage: Bacteria; Pseudomonadati; Ignavibacteriota; Ignavibacteria.
UCCGCAGUAGCUCAAUGGCGGAGCAUUCGGCUGUUAACCGAAGGGUUGUAGGUUCGAAUCCUACCUGCGGAG